This 505-nucleotide ribosomal RNA is filed under the name uncultured bacterium. RNAcentral describes it as "partial 16S ribosomal RNA". It matches the Rfam family "Bacterial small subunit ribosomal RNA", at positions 29 to 523 of the family's 1533-position model. The record is from RNAcentral.
AGUGAACGCUGGCGGUAGGCCUAACACAUGCAAGUCGAACGGCAGCACAGGAGAGCUUGCUCUCUGGGUGGCGAGUGGCGGACGGGUGAGGAAUACAUCGGAAUCUACUCUGUCGUGGGGGAUAACGUAGGGAAACUUACGCUAAUACCGCAUACGACCUACGGGUGAAAGCAGAGGAUCUUCGGACCUUGCGCGAUUGAUUGAGCCGAUGUCGGAGUAGCUAGUUGGCGGGGUAAAGGCCCACCAAGGCGACGAUACGUAGCUGGUCUGAGAGGUUGAUCAGCCACACUGGAACUGAGACACGGUCCAGACUCCUACGGGAGGCAGCAGUGGGGAAUAUUGGACAAUGGGCGCAAGCCUGAUCCAGCCAUACCGCGUGGGUGAAGAAGGCCUUCGGGUUGUAAGCCCUUUUGUUGGGAAAGAAAUCCAGCUGGCUAAUACCCGGUUGGGAUGACGGUACCCAAAGAAUAAGCACCGGCUAACUUCGUGCCAGCCGCCGCCGUAA